UCAGUCAGAGAUCUUCUGAAUCUGAAAUACUCUGCUCGACUCGUCUGUAUUUAUCAACCACCCGCCGCUCACGAAUACAUAGUCGAAUGUGGGGAUGGGUUCAAUAAAAAAGUUUUCGACUGACCACGCCCCCACCCCCUCGCUGGUUAGCAGUUGCGAAGGUUUAGACGACGCCAUAUUCUUGUGGUCGCAGCAAAGUUGAGUUGUUGCCGUCCAAUGGAGUGGAGAAGAGGCGGGACAAACACUACAUUGACCAACCAUGAUACACAACGAUGGAGAAGUGCAGGUGGUAGAUCCUUUUCCUAUCUAGCGCCUAAACUUUGGAAUAGUCUUCCCUGCACUGUCCGGGAGGCAGACACACUCUGUCAGUUUAAAUCUAGACUAAAGACGCAUCUUUUUAAUCUUGCAUACACUACUCUUCCAUAAUAUAAAUCUUCAGAGGGUUUAGGCUGCAUUAGUUAGAUCAACCGGAACCAAAAACACAACUGAUGUACUUGUUGCAUCAAAGAGUACAGAACAGUACUCUACUCUCAGCCAGUCUUGUCUCAUUGUUCCAAGGUUACCACAGCGAGCAGGAUGCAGUUCAUGGCCUGACCUGAUGGUAGAGCGGAGAAUGGGAAGUGGGGACCUGACAAGAGCUGAGAUGAUAGAGCUGGAUAAAGAAGGACGCGGUCUCUUGACAUGUCUUCACCACAAAAUUUCAAAUGCUAUUAGAUUAUUAAUGAUAAUCUUAAACUAUAAUUUAUUUUAUUAUUAAGUUUAUUUAUUUUAUUUAGCCUUGUUGUGCAAGUUCUCUGGAGCUUGUGCAGAGGCAGCAGCUUUUGCCAGAGGGGAACUGGAAUCCCCUGGUUGGGCCUGGGUUCUCCUGAGGUUUUUUUUCUCGAUUAGAGUUUUGGGUUCCUCGCCACCGUUUGCAUACUGUUUUUGCACUAUCUGCCUGACCGGGGGGGCUGCUUUAGAAUCUUAAAGUUUUACUUAAUUAAUAUUGCAUAUAGGAAUUUAUUAUCUGUUAUAUUUGACCUGUGCUUCUCUCUCCUUUAUCCUAAAUGUGUGCUCUCACUGAGCGUGUGUGUGUGUGUG
Long non-coding RNA from Triplophysa rosa, 1080 nucleotides. RefSeq lists it as uncharacterized. The transcript is spliced from 3 exons. The record is from RefSeq and is a predicted model, not a curated record. Lineage: Eukaryota; Metazoa; Chordata; Actinopteri; Cypriniformes; Nemacheilidae.